AGAUUGAACGCUGGCGGCAGGCAUAACACAUGCAAGUCGAGCGGUAGCACAGGGAGCUUGUUCCUGGGUGACGAGCGGCGGACGGGUGAGUAAUGUCUGGGAAACUGCCUGAUGGAGGGGGAUAACUACUGGAAACGGUAGCUAAUACCGCAUAACGUCGCAAGACCAAAGAGGGGGACCUUCGGGCCUCUUGCCAUCAGAUGUGCCCAGAUGGGAUUAGCUAGUAGGUGGGGUAAUGGCUCACCUAGGCGACGAUCCCUAGCUGGUCUGAGAGGAUGACCAGCCACACUGGAACUGAGACACGGUCCAGACUCCUACGGGAGGCAGCAGUGGGGAAUAUUGCACAAUGGGCGCAAGCCUGAUGCAGCCAUGCCGCGUGUAUGAAGAAGGCCUUCGGGUUGUAAAGUACUUUCAGCGAGGAGGAAGGCAUUGUGG
RNAcentral lists this ribosomal RNA (435 nucleotides) under Klebsiella aerogenes. RNAcentral describes it as "bacterial SSU rRNA". It matches the Rfam family "Bacterial small subunit ribosomal RNA", at positions 26 to 459 of the family's 1533-position model. Lineage: Bacteria; Pseudomonadati; Pseudomonadota; Gammaproteobacteria; Enterobacterales; Enterobacteriaceae. The record is from RNAcentral.